AGCAUUCACUUCGGUGAGAUGGCGACCGGCGCACGGGUGCGUAACGCGUAUGCAACCUACCCUUUACUGCGGGAUAGCCCGGGGAAACCCGGAUUAAUACCGCAUGGUACCAAUUGAGGGCAUCUAAAGAUGGUUAAAGAUUUAUCGGUAAAGGAUGGGCAUGCGUGACAUUAGUUAGUUGGUGAGGUAACGGCUCACCAAGACGACGAUGUCUAGGGGGUCUGAGAGGAUGAUCCCCCACACUGGCACUGAGAUACGGGCCAGACUCCUACGGGAGGCAGCAGUAGGGAAUAUUGGUCAAUGGGCGAAAGCCUGAACCAGCCAUGCCGCGUGCAGGAAGACGGCCUUCUGGGUUGUAAACUGCUUUUAUCAGGGAACAAAAAGCUCCUGCGGGAGAAAUUGCGUGUACCUGAAGAAUAAGGACCGGCUAACUCCGUGCCAGCAGCCGCGGUAAUACGGAGGGUCCAAGCGUUGUCCGGAUUUAUUGGGUUUAAAGGGUGCGUAGGCGGCCUUAUAAGUCAGUGGUGAAAUCCUUCGGCUCAACCGGAGAACUGCCAUUGAAACUGUAAGGCUUGAGUACAGACGAGGUAGGCGGAAUUUAUGGUGUAGCGGUGAAAUGCAUAGAUACCAUAAAGAACACCUAUAGCGAAGGCAGCUUACUAGACUGUAACUGACGCUGAGGCACGAAAGCGUGGGGAGCGAACAGGAUUAGAUACCCUGGUAGUCCACGCCGUAAACGAUGAUUACUCGAUGUGUGCGAUAGACAGUACGCGUCCAAGCGAAAGCGUUAAGUAAUCCACCUGGGGAGUACGCUCGCAAGAGUG
This 824-nucleotide ribosomal RNA is filed under the name uncultured bacterium. Its description in RNAcentral is "bacterial SSU rRNA". It matches the Rfam family "Bacterial small subunit ribosomal RNA", at positions 70 to 896 of the family's 1533-position model. The record is from RNAcentral.